Molecule: unclassified non-coding RNA, 1615 nt
Filed under: Actinia tenebrosa (Australian red waratah sea anemone)
Lineage: Eukaryota; Metazoa; Cnidaria; Anthozoa; Actiniaria; Actiniidae
Description: uncharacterized LOC116289030, transcript variant X4
Source: RNAcentral
UUUUAUAAACACAUGUAAACUUUGCGAUAGAAACCUUCAAUCCUGCUAAAAGUUAGUGCAAUAGUUCUUUUUCUUAGAGAUUAGAAGGCGAAAUGCCUUAUAGAUGCGUAGCAGGAGGCUGUUCAAACUUUCCAGAUUCUGAAAGAAAUAUAGGUUUACAUCAAUUUCCUGAAGAAAAUGAUAGAAAAAGAAGAAGGCAGUGGGUAAGCUUCGUGCGAACAAAACGUGCCAAAUGGUCACCUACCAAAAACUCUCGGUUGUGUUCUGAACACUUCAGAGAGGACGAAUUCGAGCAUCAUUUUGUCCAUAUAAUCGGAACUCCGUUUGGAAACAAGAGAGUUCUAAAGAAAGACGCAUUUCCAACAAUUCACAAGGAAUUGGAAGAGAAGCCGAAGGAAGGAGAGAAACAACAACAACCUCUAACAAAUGCAAAAAGGUCUUCGCGUGAGCAUCGCCGGGUUGUAAGGGACUUAUUAAAAGACCAACCCAUUCUCCCUUCCGCGAGUACCACAGGAGAAUCAGUGAGAGGCGAAUCAGGAUCGGAAGCGCUAGUAGACCUUGUAGAAGAAGUUCCGUUACUGAGCGAUCCGAUAGAUUCAGAACCUGUUGCUCAAGCUCAGAAAAACCUCCAACUCACACGAGAUGACUGCACUCAAACACCUGAAUGUCUGGGCUGCAAAAAACGUUUGAGCCAGAAACGCCAGCUGCGCAACAAAGUGAUAGACGUGGAAAAUAAAUGGAAAAAACGCCUUCAAAAAUGUGAAGAAGAGGCCAGUGUUUUGGAGACACCUGAAACGACUAACAACGAAGAUUAUGCAAACGUAGAAGAGAGUGAUGAAGAAGAGGAAGAAGUCAUAGAAGAGGAGCCACCUCUUUCAGAAAUGUCAUCACCUGAAUAUAAGAUGUUCUCUGAUACAGAAACAGAGACAGAGACAGAAGAUGAGAGUGAUGAUGAAAAACCAAAGAAGAAUUUUCUGAUAGUAACCAUAAAAUUUCAGGGUUACCUACUGACUUGUUUCCACUUUGCACAACACAUAUUGUUAGAUUUACAUUACAGUAAUAAUGUUUGCUAAUAAACUGCUCAUAUAUUCAUUUCAGUGCCAAUUCCCACAGUGAAAAUCUUAGACACCAACCAAAGUUUAUCGUCUUUUUAUCAAAACUCCUCCUUUUGUUCAACAUCUGUCCAUCCUGCAAAUCUGAUAAGCCUUCAAUAGAGACGUCAGUUUGUGGCACAAUGAUUGAAAUAACAACUCAGUGUUUCAACCCUCAGUGUCAAUCUCCCACGAAUACAUGGCGGAGCCAACCAAACAUGACAGGAACCAAAAUGCCAGCCAUGAACUUUCUGUUGUGCUUUUCCAUUUUGAUUUCUGGUGCAUCGCCCUCUAAAGUAUUCCAAGUAUUUAAGAACAUGGGAGUCCACUGUAUAAGUCUAGAAACAUACUUCAAGCAUCAGGCGUAUCAAGAGGAAAUGAUGGUGAAGAUCAAAGGAACUGGUCAGUCUCUGGUAUUAGCUGGCGAUGGGCGUCAUGAUUCUAUGGGCCACAGUGCCAAAUAUUGUGCCUACACAAUAUUUUGCUGUACUAUACCACUCAUCAUUGAGUUUUCCUUAGUGCAG